Molecule: ribosomal RNA, 1404 nt
Filed under: uncultured bacterium
Lineage: Bacteria
Description: partial 16S ribosomal RNA
Rfam family: Bacterial small subunit ribosomal RNA
Source: RNAcentral
AGAGUUUGAUCCUGGCUCAGGAUGAACGCUAGCGACAGGCUUAACACAUGCAAGUCGAGGGGCAGCAGGGGAGUAGCAAUACUCCCGCUGGCGACCGGCGCACGGGUGAGUAACACGUAUGCAACCUGCCCUUGUCAGGGGGAUAAGCGGAAGAAAUUCCGUCUAAUACCGCAUAAUGCUGCGGGGAGACAUCUCCCUGCAGCCAAAGAUUUAUCGGACAAGGAUGGGCAUGCGGCGCAUUAGCUGGUUGGCGGGGUAACGGCCCACCAAGGCGACGAUGCGUAGGGGUUCUGAGAGGAAGGUCCCCCACACUGGUACUGAGACACGGACCAGACUCCUACGGGAGGCAGCAGUGAGAAAUAUUGGUCAAUGGCCGGGAGGCUGAACCAGCCAAGUCGCGUGAGGGAAGACGGUCCUAUGGAUUGUAAACCUCUUUUGUCAGGGAGCAAAAACUGCCACGCGUGGCAGGAUGAGAGUACCUGAAGAAAAAGCAUCGGCUAACUCCGUGCCAGCAGCCGCGGUAAUACGGAGGAUGCGAGCGUUAUCCGGAUUUAUUGGGUUUAAAGGGUGCGUAGGCGGACAGUUAAGUCAGCGGUAAAAUUGAGAGGGCUCAACCUCUUCCCGCCGUUGAAACUGAUUGUCUUGAGUGGGCGAGAAGUAUGCGGAAUGCGUGGUGUAGCGGUGAAAUGCAUAGAUAUCACGCAGAACUCCGAUUGCGAAGGCAGCAUACCGGCGCCCAACUGACGCUGAAGCACGAAAGCGUGGGUAUCGAACAGGAUUAGAUACCCUGGUAGUCCACGCAGUAAACGAUGAAUACUAAUUGUUCGGGUCAAAUGAGAUCUGAGUGAUACAGCGAAAGCGUUAAGUAUUCCACCUGGGGAGUACGCCGGCAACGGUGAGACUCAAAGGAAUUGACGGGGGCCCGCACAAGCGGAGGAACAUGUGGUUUAAUUCGAUGAUACGCGAGGAACCUUACCCGGGCUCAAACGACACAGGAAUGAUCUGAGAAAUCAGGCAGUCCUCCGGGACCUGUGUCGAGGUGCUGCAUGGUUGUCGUCAGCUCGUGCCGUGAGGUGUCGGCUUAAGUGCCAUAACGAGCGCAACCCCCAUCGACAGUUGCCAGCAGGUGAAGCUGGGCACUCUGUCGAGACUGCCGGCGCAAGCUGUGAGGAAGGCGGGGAUGACGUCAAAUCAGCACGGCCCUUACGUCCGGGGCGACACACGUGUUACAAUGGCAGGUACAGCGGGAAGCCACCUGGCGACAGGGAGCGGAACCCGAAAGCCUGUCUCAGUUCGGAUUGGAGUCUGCAACUCGACUCCGUGAAGCUGGAUUCGCUAGUAAUCGCGCAUCAGCCACGGCGCGGUGAAUACGUAAGGCGGGCCUUGCACUCACCGCCCGUCAAG